UACGAAGGGGGCUAGCGUUGCUCGGAAUCACUGGGCGUAAAGGGCGCGUAGGCGGCCUGAUAAGUAGGGGGUGAAAUCCUGUGGCUCAACUGCAGGGCUGCCUCCUAGACUGUCGGGGCUUGAGCACGGUAGAGGCAGAUGGAAUUCCCGGUGUAGCGGUGGAAUGCGUAGAGAUCGGGAAGAACAUCGGUGGCGAAGGCGGUCGCUGGGCCGUUGCUGGACGCUG
RNAcentral lists this ribosomal RNA (226 nucleotides) under uncultured bacterium. Its description in RNAcentral is "partial 16S ribosomal RNA". It matches the Rfam family "Bacterial small subunit ribosomal RNA", at positions 524 to 748 of the family's 1533-position model. The record is from RNAcentral.